Molecule: ribosomal RNA, 205 nt
Filed under: uncultured bacterium
Lineage: Bacteria
Description: partial 16S ribosomal RNA
Rfam family: Bacterial small subunit ribosomal RNA
Source: RNAcentral
UCCUACGGGAGGCAGCAGUGGGGAAUCUUCCACAAUGGGCGAAAGCCUGAUGGAGCAACGCCGCGUGAGUGAAGAAGGUCUUAGGAUUGUAAAGCUCUGUCCUUAGGGAAGAACCGUGGGUAUAGAAAAUGAUACCCACCUGACGGUACCUUUGGAGGAAGCACUGGCUAACUACGUGCCAGCAGCCGCGGUAAUAAUCAAGCUU